RNAcentral lists this ribosomal RNA (450 nucleotides) under uncultured bacterium. Its description in RNAcentral is "partial 16S ribosomal RNA". It matches the Rfam family "Bacterial small subunit ribosomal RNA", at positions 354 to 796 of the family's 1533-position model. The record is from RNAcentral.
GUGGGGAAUAUUGGACAAUGGGCGAAAGCCUGAUCCAGCCAUGCCGCGUGUGUGAAGAAGGCCUUCGGGUUGUAAAGCACUUUAAGCGAGGAGGAAGGUUCGUCACCUAAUACGUGACGGAAUUGACGUUACUCGCAGAAUAAGCACCGGCUAACUCUGUGCCAGCAGCCGCGGUAAUACAGAGGGUGCAAGCGUUAAUCGGAAUUACUGGGCGUAAAGCGCGCGUAGGCGGUUGUGUAAGUUUGAUGUGAAAUCCCCGGGCUUAACCUGGGCACUGCAUUCAAAACUGCACGGCUAGAGGAUUGGAGAGGAAGGUAGAAUUCCAGGUGUAGCGGUGAAAUGCGUAGAGAUCUGGAGGAAUACCGAUGGCGAAGGCAGCCUUCUGGCCAAAUACUGACGCUGAGGUGCGAAAGCAUGGGGAGCAAACAGGAUUAGAUACCCUAGUAGUCC